CACAUAGAGUGUGGAGAUUGGAGAGAGAGACGUACGCACAGACACAGAGGAGUUGAAGAGCAAACCCGCGGCAGGCAAUAUUAGUUUGGGCUGUUUACUCACAGUGUUGACUGUACGCAAUACGCAUCGCUAGCUUUUUUUGUGUUACCGAAGGAUACUUGGGCUUUGACAAAAGAUGAUCGCAGAAGUCUUGAUCUUCAUCGCUACAGUCUCUGUGCACGUUGCUGGUUUGGAGUUGGAGGCAACUGAUGGACAAGAUAUUACCAUACCCUUCGGAACUGUUAAACUGGAGCGAGUCAAUGAAGUGAAAGUAAUUUUUGAAGGAAAAGACCUGAAAAAAUCUUUAAUUGCAAGAUACUGUUCCCAUGUUUACACUGUUCCCAGCUGUAAACCCAAGAAAACACAUGGAGUCUCGCUGCAAGUUGAAGAAAGAAAUGUGUCCUUGAUUCUUCAAGAUGUCAACAUCUCCAGAUCAGGACUCUAUAAAGCACAGGCCUUCUUUGGAAAGCAAGUGCGUGAGGUCAUUGCCACACUUGUGGUCAACAAACCACCAUUUUCCUCCAGUAGAGCACCACCACACACCUCCACCUUGAAACCUCCCAACUCCUCUGAACACCAAGGUUUAUUAAUAGCUGCAGCCAUCAUCAUCAUCAUCGUCAUCAUCAUUUUUUGCUUCUUCUGGAAACGCAGGAGAAAAGUGAGUCAGCAGUGGAUGAAGAAGACACAGAAACCUCUGAUGUCUCCAGAUCCAAUGUCUGCAAAAGAAAGCAAUUGCAGUGAUUGUGUAGCAGUCUCCAUGAACAGUUGUGAUGAAAACACUGAAGCUCUGCACGCAGAUACAGGCCUGGUUUCACAGACAGGGUUUAGAUUAAGCCAGGAUUAGGCCUUCGUUCAGUUAGGACAUUUAAGUAGGACAACAGAGCUUCUGUUUGUUCUGUUACCUGUAAUGUGUGUGUGUUUUUUUUUUUUGUUUUUGUUUUUUUUCUUCAUUUUAUUACUAACUUUUCUUUAGGUUUCUUUCGCAGUGUUUACUUAACUGAACAGUAUUUAAAGGCUACAUGUAAAAAUCCUAAAUUAUUUAUUAUUUAUUCUAAUUAUUUAUUUACAGUCAUUAAUAGCAUUAAAAUUAACUUCUUCUUAUUAUUAUUAUUUAUUCAUUUUAUUUUUUUCUUCAAAUAGUUAAGUAAAAAGCAUUUUUUAUGGUACGAAAACUGGUACCGAAAAACAUGAUAUUUGACUGGACCGACUACUGAAAUUUUGGUGCCAUGAUAACUCUAAUUUAGGGGGCUUUCACACUGGGCUUGUUUGCUGCGGUAAGAGCCCGAGCGCGAUUGUUCCCCGUGCCCGGUCUGGUUUCACAUUCAACUAGAUUCAAUCGAACUCUGGUGUGUUUGCAUUCAUCUUAUGUCAUCACAAACAUGCAAGGCGCAUGAUAGAAAACGGAACGCGGGUCAAUAAAUUGUGUUUUUUAUUAAUGUGGCGCUAUUAUGUGCAGCAGAGUAACCAACACUUGUGUUUACUCUACGUGCGUCACAUGUAGACGGUUUUCCGCUGCUUGUAAGCAGACUAUUUUGAGGAGUCCGCUGAUUGCCAUUCAUUUGCCGCUCUGAUUGCACUCUCAAAGUGUGAAUACACUGCAGGCUCACUCCUGCUCGAAGGUAAAUCAACACUAUCAUCUCUUACAUGUAACACAUUAUAAUCAUCUAAAACGCAUGCACAGGUUACUUUACUUCCUGAACAAGUGUGCAUCCGAGUCCGUAUUGCUUUCAUAUUCGCGCGAACCGCAGCACAGUUUGAGUGCAACACCUCCUUCAGGUAGUCUCGGGUUCGGUACCCCGCUGCGCACCCGGGUUCGCAUGACAGCUUUCACAUUAGUGAUUUUUCGUGCGAACCGUGCCCCGUUUCGAACUAAACCGACAAUGUGAAUGCCCCCUUAGUAUCAUAUUCCAAUCGGAUAGAGAAAUAAUCUGAUUUGUACACAGUGUGAAUGUUGCCUUUGAAGCCAGUUAACCUGCUGAACUGUUCUUUCUUCAGCACAAGUAUUCAUAAUAUGAACAUACGGUAUUAAAGUGCCAGAGUUUAGUCAGGCAGGUUGCAUUUUCACAAGUGCAUUCCAGUUAUGUGUGCAAUAAUAUUAAUAAAUCAGUCAACUGACUGUGUUCCUGCUGUCUGUGGAUGAGAUUAGGUACUGUAUGAAGGGAGAUUCAUUCUAAAGAAGAAGAUUUGCAGCUGCACAUAAGAUUCAUCUGUAUUUCUGUGUGUGCACACAUUUGUAAGUGUAAAUAUUUUUUGCAUAAAUUUGUAUCCAAAUUCA
Long non-coding RNA from Ctenopharyngodon idella (grass carp), 2314 nucleotides. RefSeq lists it as uncharacterized. The record is from RefSeq and is a predicted model, not a curated record. The transcript has 5 exons. Lineage: Eukaryota; Metazoa; Chordata; Actinopteri; Cypriniformes; Xenocyprididae.